CCUACGGGAGGCAGCAGUGAGGAAUAUUGCACAAUGGGGGAAACCCUGAUGCAGCGACGCCGCGUGAGUGAAGAAGUAAUUCGUUACGUAAAGCUCUAUCAGCAGGGAAGAAAAUGACGGUACCUGAGUAAGAAGCCCCGGCUAACUACGUGCCAGCAGCCGCGGUAAUACGUAGGGGGCAAGCGUUAUCCGGAUUUACUGGGGGUAAAGGGAGCGUAGACGGUGCGCCAAGUCUGGAGUUAAAUGCCGCAGCUUAACUGCGGAACUGCUAUGGAAACUGGCGAACUAGAGUGCGGGAGGGGGAAGCGGAAUUCCUAGGGUAGGGGUGAAAUGCGUAGAUAUUAGGAGGGACACCGGUGGGGGAGGCGGCUUACUGGACCGUAACUGACGUUGAGGCUCGAAAGCGUGGGGAGCAAACAGGAAUAGGUACCCGGGUAGUC
Molecule: ribosomal RNA, 440 nt
Filed under: uncultured bacterium
Lineage: Bacteria
Description: partial 16S ribosomal RNA
Rfam family: Bacterial small subunit ribosomal RNA
Source: RNAcentral